Molecule: ribosomal RNA, 210 nt
Filed under: Fusarium sp.
Lineage: Eukaryota; Fungi; Ascomycota; Sordariomycetes; Hypocreales; Nectriaceae
Description: partial large subunit ribosomal RNA
Source: RNAcentral
AAGCGUUUAUGACCAGACUUGGGCUUGGUUAAUCAUCUGGGGUUCUCCCCAGUGCACUUUUCCAGUCCAGGCCAGCAUCAGUUUUCCCCGGGGGAUAAAGGCGGCGGGAAUGUGGCUCUCUUCGGGGAGUGUUAUAGCCUAUUGUAUAAUACCCUUAUGGGGACCGAGGUACGCGCUCUGCAAGGAUGCUGGCGUAAUGGUCAUCAACGA